This 389-nucleotide long non-coding RNA is filed under the name Linum usitatissimum (flax). RNAcentral's name for it is "long non-coding RNA (LUSI_LNC003337)". Lineage: Eukaryota; Viridiplantae; Streptophyta; Magnoliopsida; Malpighiales; Linaceae. The record is from RNAcentral.
AACAGCAAAGAGCAAACCGACAGCUCUUUGGAUUGAACCAAAUUAAAAGUCGUCAAUAAUAAUAAUAAUAAUAAUAAUUAACAAGAAAGGUGAAAAUCAAAGAAUUAAAUUAUCGUAUACAAAAGAACAUUAAUUGGAACAGAAACAAGACAAAUCCGGAACCAAUCUCAGUUCUACGACUAGUAGUAUGGAAUUGUUGGUGGCGGUGGCGAUGCGUACGAUACUCCUACCACUGGUGGCAACGGUACGCUAUCCGGACUCGGGGGUGGAGGUGAUGGCGGCGGUGGUGAAUGAGCCNNNNNGGCGGUGAUGAAUGAACCGGAGGUGGAGGAGAUGAGUAUGUGUAAUGCCUUGCCGGAGGCGGCGGUGGAGGACUUCGGUGAUGAUGC